RNAcentral lists this ribosomal RNA (180 nucleotides) under uncultured bacterium. RNAcentral describes it as "partial 16S ribosomal RNA". It matches the Rfam family "Bacterial small subunit ribosomal RNA", at positions 338 to 511 of the family's 1533-position model. The record is from RNAcentral.
CCUACGGGAGGCAGCAGUAGGGAAUCUUCCACAAUGGACGAAAGUCUGAUGGAGCAACGCCGCGUGAAUGAAGAAGGCCUCGGGUCGUAAAAUUCUGUUGUCAGAGAAGAACGUGCGUGAGAGUAACUGUUCACGUAUUGACGGUAUCUGACCAGAAAGCCACGGCUAACUACGUGCCAG